RNAcentral lists this ribosomal RNA (1520 nucleotides) under metagenome. RNAcentral describes it as "bacterial SSU rRNA". It matches the Rfam family "Bacterial small subunit ribosomal RNA". The record is from RNAcentral.
GAGUUUGAUCAUGGCUCAGAUUGAACGCUGGCGGCAGGCCUAACACAUGCAAGUCGAACGGUAACAGGAAACAGCUUGCUGUUUCGCUGACGAGUGGCGGACGGGUGAGUAAUGUCUGGGAAACUGCCUGAUGGAGGGGGAUAACUACUGGAAACGGUAGCUAAUACCGCAUAACGUCGCAAGACCAAAGAGGGGGACCUUCGGGCCUCUUGCCAUCAGAUGUGCCCAGAUGGGAUUAGCUAGUAGGUGGGGUAACGGCUCACCUAGGCGACGAUCCCUAGCUGGUCUGAGAGGAUGACCAGCCACACUGGAACUGAGACACGGUCCAGACUCCUACGGGAGGCAGCAGUGGGGAAUAUUGCACAAUGGGCGCAAGCCUGAUGCAGCCAUGCCGCGUGUAUGAAGAAGGCCUUCGGGUUGUAAAGUACUUUCAGCGGGGAGGAAGGGAGUAAAGUUAAUACCUUUGCUCAUUGACGUUACCCGCAGAAGAAGCACCGGCUAACUCCGUGCCAGCAGCCGCGGUAAUACGGAGGGUGCAAGCGUUAAUCGGAAUUACUGGGCGUAAAGCGCACGCAGGCGGUUUGUUAAGUCAGAUGUGAAAUCCCCGGGCUCAACCUGGGAACUGCAUCUGAUACUGGCAAGCUUGAGUCUCGUAGAGGGGGGUAGAAUUCCAGGUGUAGCGGUGAAAUGCGUAGAGAUCUGGAGGAAUACCGGUGGCGAAGGCGGCCCCCUGGACGAAGACUGACGCUCAGGUGCGAAAGCGUGGGGAGCAAACAGGAUUAGAUACCCUGGUAGUCCACGCCGUAAACGAUGUCGACUUGGAGGUUGUGCCCUUGAGGCGUGGCUUCCGGAGCUAACGCGUUAAGUCGACCGCCUGGGGAGUACGGCCGCAAGGUUAAAACUCAAAUGAAUUGACGGGGGCCCGCACAAGCGGUGGAGCAUGUGGUUUAAUUCGAUGCAACGCGAAGAACCUACCUGGUCUUGACAUCCACGGAAGUUUUCAGAGAUGAGAAUGUGCCUUCGGGAACCGUGAGACAGGUGCUGCAUGGCUGUCGUCAGCUCGUGUUGUGAAAUGUUGGGUUAAGUCCCGCAACGAGCGCAACCCUUAUCCUUUGUUGCCAGCGGUCCGGCCGGGAACUCAAAGGAGACUGCCAGUGAUAAACUGGAGGAAGGUGGGGAUGACGUCGAGUCAUCAUGGCCCUUACGACCAGGGCUACACACGUGCUACAAUGGCGCAUACAAAGAGAAGCGACCUCGCGAGAGCAAGCGGACCUCAUAAAGUGCGUCGUAGUCCGGAUUGGAGUCUGCAACUCGACUCCAUGAAGUCGGAAUCGCUAGUAAUCGUGGAUCAGAAUGCCACGGUGAAUACGUUCCCGGGCCUUGUACACACCGCCCGUCACACCAUGGGAGUGGGUUGCAAAAGAAGUAGGUAGCUUAACCUUCGGGAGGGCGCUUACCACUUUGUGAUUCAUGACUGGGGUGAAGUCGAAACAAGGUAACCGUAGGGGAACCUGCGGUUG